RNAcentral lists this ribosomal RNA (250 nucleotides) under uncultured bacterium. Its description in RNAcentral is "partial 16S ribosomal RNA". It matches the Rfam family "Bacterial small subunit ribosomal RNA", at positions 524 to 773 of the family's 1533-position model. The record is from RNAcentral.
UACGUAGGGGCCGAGCGUUGUCCGGAAUUACUGGGCGUAAAGCGCGCGCAGGCGGCUGAUCAAGCCUGACGUGAAAGCCCCCGGCUCAACCGGGGAGGGUCGUCGGGGACUGAUUGGCUUGAGGGCGGUAGGGGCCGGUGGAAUUCCCGGUGUAGUGGUGAAAUGCGUAGAGAUCGGGAGGAACACCAGUGGCGAAGGCGGCCGGCUGGGCCGACCCUGACGCUGAGGCGCGAAGGCGUGGGGAGCGAAC